RNAcentral lists this ribosomal RNA (438 nucleotides) under uncultured bacterium. RNAcentral's name for it is "bacterial SSU rRNA". It matches the Rfam family "Bacterial small subunit ribosomal RNA", at positions 339 to 794 of the family's 1533-position model. The record is from RNAcentral.
AUACGGGAGGCAGCAGUAGGGAAUAUUGGACAAUGGGCGAAAGCCUGAUCCAGCAAUGCCGCGUGAGUGAAGAAGGCCUUCGGGUUGUAAAGCUCUUUCACCCGUGACGAUGAUGACGGUAACGGGAGAAGAAGCCCCGGCUAACUCCGUGCCAGCAGCCGCGGUAAUACGGAGGGGGCAAGCGUUGUUCGGAAUUACUGGGCGUAAAGGGCGCGUAGGCGGCUUGGCAAGUUGGGCGUGAAAGCCCUGGGCUUAACCCAGGAAUUGCGCUUGAGACUGCCGGGCUUGAGUGCGGGAGAGGUGAGUGGAAUUCCCAGUGUAGAGGUGAAAUUCGUGGAUAUUGGGAAGAACACCAGUGGCGAAGGCGGCUCACUGGCCCGCAACUGACGCUGAGGCGCGAAAGCGUGGGGAGCAAACAGGAUUAGAUACCCUGGUAGC